RNAcentral lists this ribosomal RNA (424 nucleotides) under uncultured bacterium. Its description in RNAcentral is "bacterial SSU rRNA". It matches the Rfam family "Bacterial small subunit ribosomal RNA", at positions 359 to 775 of the family's 1533-position model. The record is from RNAcentral.
GAAUAUUGGACAAUGGGCGCAAGCCUGAUCCAGCCAUGCCGCGUGUGUGAAGAAGGCCUUCGGGUUGUAAAGCACUUUUGUUGGGGAAGAAAAGCCAUGGGCUAAUACCCUGUGGUUCUGACGGUACCCAAAGAAUAAGCACCGGCUAACUCUGUGCCAGCAGCCGCGGUAAUACAGAGGGUGCGAGCGUUAAUCGGAAUUACUGGGCGUAAAGCGCACGUAGGUGGCGACGUAUGUCGGGUGUGAAAGCCCCGGGCUCAACCUGGGAAUUGCAUCCGAAACUGCGUUGCUGGAGUACGGAAGAGGAAGGCGGAAUUCCCGGUGUAGCGGUGAAAUGCGUAGAUAUCGGGAGGAACAUCAGUGGCGAAGGCGGCCUUCUGGUCCAGUACUGACACUCAAGUGCGAAAGCGUGGGGAGCAAACAG